This 498-nucleotide ribosomal RNA is filed under the name uncultured bacterium. Its description in RNAcentral is "bacterial SSU rRNA". It matches the Rfam family "Bacterial small subunit ribosomal RNA", at positions 29 to 521 of the family's 1533-position model. The record is from RNAcentral.
AACGAACGCUGGCGGCGCGCCUAACACAUGCAAGUCGAACGAGAAGGCGUAGCAAUACGCUUGUAAAGUGGCGAACGGGUGAGGAAUACGUGGGUAACCUACCCUCGAGUGGGGAAUAACCAACCGAAAGGUUGGCUAAUGCCGUGUACGCUUCCAUCUCUUCGGAGGUGGAAGGAAAGCUGUACCGUGGGUACAGCGCUCAAGGAUGGGCUCACGUCCUAUCAGCUUGUUGGUAGGGUAACGGCCACCAAGGCAACGACGGGUAGCUGGUCUGAGAGGACGAUCAGCCACACUGGCACUGCGACACGGGCCAGACUCCUACGGGAGGCAGCAGUGAGGAAUAUUGCGCAAUGGGCGAAAGCCUGACGCAGCGACGCCGCGUGGGGGAUGAAGGUCUUCGGAUUGUAAACCCCUUUCGGGAGGGAAGAUGGGACGGGCAACCGUUCGGACGGUACCUCCAGAAGCAGCCACGGCUAACUUCGUGCCAGCCGCCGCCGU